This 95-nucleotide small RNA is filed under the name Salmonella enterica. RNAcentral's name for it is "partial RtT sRNA". It matches the Rfam family "RtT RNA", at positions 1 to 94 of the family's 130-position model. From Rfam's summary of the family: This family represents a bacterial cis-regulatory element known as RtT RNA. Lineage: Bacteria; Pseudomonadati; Pseudomonadota; Gammaproteobacteria; Enterobacterales; Enterobacteriaceae. The record is from RNAcentral.
AUAUCUCUCUGUACGGGAAGGAUGAGAAGCUUCGACUAAGGUUCGAUUCGAGCGCAGCGAGAAAGCGUUGCCAACGGCAACGACCCGAAGGGCGA